UCCCUGGAGGACUAGUGGUUAGGCCAUGGUGCUCUUACCGAUGCGGCCCGGGUUCGAUUCCCCGACAGAGAA
Molecule: non-coding RNA, 72 nt
Organism: Pangasius djambal
Lineage: Eukaryota; Metazoa; Chordata; Actinopteri; Siluriformes; Pangasiidae
Source: the annotation of a GenBank genome assembly